UACAGAGGGGGCAAGCGUUGUUCGGAAUUACUGGGCGUAAAGGGCGCGUAGGCGGCCUGUUAAGUCGAACGUGAAAUCCCCGGGCUCAACCCGGGAACUGCGUCCGAUACUGGCAGGCUUGAAUCCGGGAGAGGGAUGUGGAAUUCCAGGUGUAGCAGUGAAAUGCGUAGAGAUGUGGAGGAACACCGAUGGCGAAGGCAGCCUCCUGGGCCGACACUGACGCUGAGGGCACGAAAGCGUGGGGAGCAAACAGG
Molecule: ribosomal RNA, 254 nt
Filed under: uncultured bacterium
Lineage: Bacteria
Description: partial 16S ribosomal RNA
Rfam family: Bacterial small subunit ribosomal RNA
Source: RNAcentral